GACGAACGCUGGCGGCGUGCCUAAUACAUGCAAGUAGAACGCACAGUUUAUACCGUAGCUUGCUACACCAUAGACUGUGAGUUGCGAACGGGUGAGUAACGCGUAGGUAACCUGCCUGGUAGCGGGGGAUAACUAUUGGAAACGAUAGCUAAUACCGCAUAAUAUUGAUUAUUGCAUGAUAAUUGAUUGAAAGAUGCUAUUGCAUCACUACCAGAUGGACCUGCGUUGUAUUAGCUAGUAGGUGAGGUAACGGCUCACCUAGGCGACGAUACAUAGCCGACCGGAGAGGGUGAUCGGCCACACUGGGACUGAGACACGGCCCAGACUCCUACGGGAGGCAGCAGUAGGGAAUCUUCGGCAAUGGACGAAAGUCUGACCGAGCAACGCCGCGUGAGUGAAGAAGGUUUUCGUAUCGUAAAGCUCUGUUGUAAGAGAAGAACGGGUGUGAGAGUGGAAAGUUCACACUGUGACGGUAUCUUACCAGAAAGGGACGGCUAGCUACGUG
Molecule: ribosomal RNA, 505 nt
Filed under: uncultured bacterium
Lineage: Bacteria
Description: partial 16S ribosomal RNA
Rfam family: Bacterial small subunit ribosomal RNA
Source: RNAcentral